GAUGAAGAACGUAGCGAAAUGCGAUAAGUAAUGUGAAUUGCAGAAUUCAGUGAAUCAUCGAAUCUUUGAACGCUUCUUGCGUUUCUUGGUAUUCUGAGGAGCAUGCCUGUUUGAGUGUCAUUAAAUUCUCAACUACACUGACUUUGAAUUGGUGUGGCUUGGAUUUGGGGGGAAAAUUGUUGUGGGCUUUUUGUAUAGUCUGCUCCCCUGAAAUUGAUUAGCGGUACCUUUGUGGAACUGUCUACAGGUGUGAUAAUUAUCUACAUCUUACACAUCUGCUGGAAUGCUGCUUUCUAAACCUUACUUGUAUUGACAAUCUUGACCUCAAAUCAGGUAGGACUACCCGCUGAACUUAAGCAUAUCAAUAAGCGGAGGA
This 376-nucleotide unclassified non-coding RNA is filed under the name soil metagenome. Its description in RNAcentral is "partial contains 5.8S ribosomal RNA, internal transcribed spacer 2, and large subunit ribosomal RNA". The stretch from base 1 to 120 matches the Rfam family "5.8S ribosomal RNA", at positions 35 to 154 of the family's 154-position model. The record is from RNAcentral.